Molecule: unclassified non-coding RNA, 881 nt
Filed under: uncultured Glomerales
Lineage: Eukaryota; Fungi; Glomeromycota; Glomeromycetes; Glomerales; Glomeraceae
Description: sequence contains 18S rRNA gene, ITS1, 5.8S rRNA gene, ITS2, 28S rRNA gene
Rfam family: Eukaryotic large subunit ribosomal RNA (bases 462-881)
Source: RNAcentral
GGAAGGAUCAUUACCAACCAUUAGUGAGCUUUGGACUUGUCCAUGGACUCGCGAAAUCUGUAUUUAAAACCCGCUCAUAUAACUAAAACAUGUAGUAUUAUGAUAAUUAAAGAUCACUUUCAACAACGGAUCUCUUGGCUCUCGCAUCGAUGAAGAACGUAGCGAAGUGCGAUAAGUAAUGUGAAUUGCAGAAUUCCGUGAAUCAUCGAAUUUUUGAACGCAAAUUGCACUCUCCGGUUUUCCGGGAGAGUAUGCCUGUUUGAGGGUCAGCCUAAAUAAAAUCGAUGUGUCGCUUUUGUGACUUUCGGAAUUGGGUUAUCUUAACCUAUCAGGUUAAGUGGCCUGAAAUUUAUGUUUUUUGCGCAUCCUAGACGUGUAUAAUUUAUUUAUCCGUUUUCGAUGCCGAACUCUAUUAGGUAUGGUCAUGUCGUGUGGUCUCGUACCUAUAAUUCAUCAUAUUUUGACCUCAAAUCAGGUAAGAGUACCCGCUGAACUUAAGCAUAUCAAUAAGCGGAGGAAAAGAAAAUAACAAUGAUUCCCCUAGUAACGGCGAGUGAAGAGGGAUAAGCUCAAAUUUUAAAUCUGUCAGGUACACCUGGCCGAGUUGUAAUUUGAAGAAACGUUUUCUCGCGCUUCUGAUCAGUCCAAGUCCUAUUGAAUGAGGCAUCAUAGAGGGUGAUAAUCCCGUCCGGUUGAUCAAGGCGCUUUACGAUACGUUUUCAAAGAGUCAAGUUGUUUGGGAUUGCAGCUUAAAAUGGGAGGUAAAUUUCUCCUAAGGCUAAAUAUUGGCGAGAGACCGAUAGCGAACAAGUACCGUGAGGGAAAGAUGAAAAGUACUUUGAAAAGAGAGUUAAAUAGUACGUGAAAUUGUUGAAAGGGAA